UAUUGUACUUUGCAGGUGAUAGAUC
This 25-nucleotide small RNA is filed under the name Bombyx mori (domestic silkworm). RNAcentral's name for it is "ovarian small RNA-24274". Lineage: Eukaryota; Metazoa; Arthropoda; Insecta; Lepidoptera; Bombycidae. The record is from RNAcentral.